GAAAGCCACAGCAGCAAGGAAUCACCCCUCGUCAGGGAAGUUCACAGCGAUAGGAAUGAAAUAGAACAGUGGCUUCGGGAGCCACAAGGGACCUGCUGUGUGCACAUUCUGAUACUGAGCUCAGCAGAGGUACAAGAGAAAUAUACCGCCACGGCUUCCUUCAAAGAGCUCGCCGCAUGGCUGGGAAGCAGUAGCAGGGAGGCUUCGCUCAGUGCAGACGGCUCGAUGGGUCUUUUCAAUAUUCUGUCACAAGAUCACCAGUGAAUCUCUGCGGAACAAAAGAUUUCCUUCGCUUCUCGUCUCAGUGCAAGCCUUGACCACACACAUGUAAGCUUCGUUUCACUCAGCGGUUUCCAAGCUGACAAUGUCCCAGGCGAGGCCGGGUUUCAGCAGACGCAUCCCUGCAUCCUCCACCAGCACUGUUUGUUCUGAAAUCAUCUUGUUCAUGGGGAUUCUGGGGAAAACCUUACUCAGCCCCCUUUCUCCUCCCUGUGGUGUCAGCAUUCCCAUCCUGGCUGCAUAUUCAACUCACCUGGGGAGACUAAAAAACACCCCAAUACACAGGAUCUGCUGAAACACCCCAAUACACAGGAUCUACCCAAACACCCCAAUACACAGGACCCCCCAAAACACCCCAAUACACAGGACCCCCCAAAACACCCCAAUACACAGGACCCGCCCAAACACCCCAAUACACAGGACCCGCCGAAACACCCCAAUACACAGGACCCGCCGAAACACCCCAAUACACAGGACCCGCCGAAACACCCCAAUACACAGGACCCCUCAAAACACCCCAAUACACAGGACCCGCCCGAGCACCCCAAUACACAGGACCCGCCCGAGCACCCCAAUACACAGGACCCACCAAACACCCCAAUACACAGAACCCCCCGAAACACCCCAAUACACAGGAUCCCCCGAAACACCCCAAUACACAGGAUCCCCCGAAACACCCCAAUACACAGGAUCCCCCAAAACACCCCAAUACACAGGAUCCCCCGAAACACCCCAAUACACAGGACCCACUGAAACGCCCCAAUACACAGGAUCCCCCAAAACACCCCAAUACACAGGAUCCCCCGAAACACCCCAAUACACAGGACCCACUGAAACGCCCCAAUACACAGGAUCCCCCGAGAUCCUGAUUUAGUGUCAGAGAACCUGCUUCCUGGGUGAUCCCAGUGUGAAGGCCUGGGCGGAAACCCAUUUCAGGUUCCCACGCCAGCAGAUGCCGAGUGACCACGCCUGGGCGGGCAGGGCUUUCGGUUCUUCCCAGCUGUGUGACCUUGGCAGGGCCCUGCAGCUCUCUGAGCCUUGGGUUCGCCCAUGUGUGCUGGGAUAGUGUCCCUGCCUUCCGUGUCUCUCAGGAGUAUUGAGAACAUCAAGUGAAUUCCAGCAUGGGGCCAGUGCAGGCCAGCAACCAAGAGCGCCCUGCUCCUUCAAGGCAGAGCCUGGAGCCAGGCCACAGAGGCCGGAAGACGCUGGAAGUGCGGCGGGAGCCGGUCCCAUCUGCCCUCCGCACUCUGCCCAGGCUUCUGCCACCGAGCACUGCCUGGACCUGGUGGGGCAUGACUGGGACCCAGGAAGGGUCUGCGACGUCAGUGACAUAAAGCCCAAUAGGACAGAAAAAGGAAGCACUUCUCUCAUUGGAAGUGUUACCUAGAUGUGGGAAUGACAGUGCAGUCAUUGUGAAUGGAGGUCCUGGGGCCGAACCGCCCAGGUGAGAAUCCAGCCUCUACCAGGAGAAGCUGCUGAAGUCUCAUUUCUUCACCUGUACAAUGGGCAGAGUUGCUUUGAGGAUUAAAUGAGAUAAUCCAUACAAGGUGACACCAUGGAAGGUCAGAGAGGUUAGGGAUCUAAUUGCCCAAGGGGCAAUGCCAGCAAGUGGAAACAGAGCCAGAACCUGAACCCACGUCUGCCUAACUCCAAAGACAGCUCUUUCUACCAUCUAUGACAGAGGAGGUGAAGAUCAAGCCCUGGCCCAGUCACACGGGAGGCACUGUGGAGCUGUGGAGCCCGAAGCAGCAGACAGAGGGGUGAGGAGGGCCUGCGCCCUGUGGCAGGUGGGGGCCUCUAGGUGCCCCCUGCGGUGGGAAAGGCCCUGCCAAGAAGUCCUCGCUCUCCCUCCUGUCUAACAUCAGCCUGCUCCCAACGGCUGGCUCCCAUUCUCCUUCCUCCACAAAGCAAACUCCCAUCCCCAGUCGGGCAGGCCACCUGCUCUCUACACCCCAAGGCCACCUCGGCCUAUGUCGGGGUGAGCUUCCGCCCUCAAUGGGACCUAGAAGGCGCAAGAGAAGAGCAUGAGGUGGCAGCCAUGUGCUGGGGGCCUGGAUCCUGGGACCCAGAUGCUGGGUCAUAUGGGGCAGCUGUGAGGUCUGUACUGGGGUCUCAACCCUGCAUUCUAAGUGGGGUGAGGAGGGAUUUCC
RNAcentral lists this long non-coding RNA (2429 nucleotides) under Homo sapiens (human). RNAcentral's name for it is "HSALNT0300469". The record is from RNAcentral. Lineage: Eukaryota; Metazoa; Chordata; Mammalia; Primates; Hominidae.